RNAcentral lists this ribosomal RNA (229 nucleotides) under uncultured bacterium. Its description in RNAcentral is "partial 16S ribosomal RNA". It matches the Rfam family "Bacterial small subunit ribosomal RNA", at positions 568 to 796 of the family's 1533-position model. The record is from RNAcentral.
UGCGUAGGCGGAAUGAUAAGUUAGUGGUGAAAGCCUCCGGCUCAACCGGAGAACUGCCAUUAAUACUGUUAUUCUUGAGUAUAGUUGAAGUGGGCGGAAUGUAUCAUGUAGCGGUGAAAUGCUUAGAUAUGAUACAGAACACCGAUAGCGUAGGCAGCUUGCUAAACUAUAACUGACGCUCAGGCACGAAAGCGUGGGGAGCAAACAGGAUUAGAUACCCUGGUAGUCC